Molecule: ribosomal RNA, 255 nt
Filed under: uncultured bacterium
Lineage: Bacteria
Description: partial 16S ribosomal RNA
Rfam family: Bacterial small subunit ribosomal RNA
Source: RNAcentral
UACAGAGGUCCCGAGCGUUGUUCGGAUUCAUUGGGCGUAAAGGGUGCGUAGGCGGGCAGGUAAGUCCGUGGUGAAAUCUCUGAGCUUAACUCAGAAACUGCCAUGGAUACUAUUUGUCUUGAAUGUUGUGGAGGUAAGCGGAAUAUGUCAUGUAGCGGUGAAAUGCUUAGAUAUGACAUAGAAACACCAAUUGCGAAGGCAGCUUACUACACAAAAUAUUGACGCUGAGGCACGAAAGCGUGGGGAUCAAACAGG